This 74-nucleotide transfer RNA is filed under the name Myotis davidii. It matches the Rfam family "tRNA". Rfam says of the family: Transfer RNA (tRNA) molecules are approximately 80 nucleotides in length. Their secondary structure includes four short double-helical elements and three loops (D, anti-codon, and T loops). Lineage: Eukaryota; Metazoa; Chordata; Mammalia; Chiroptera; Vespertilionidae. The record is from Rfam by way of RNAcentral.
GCCCUGGUGGCUCAGUUGGUAGGAGCAUCGUCCCAUACACCAAAAGGUUGUGGGUUCAAUUCCCAGUCAGGGCA